CGAUGUAGCUUCUGCCUGAUGUUAGUGCUUGGUAUCACCUGGAAAACAACAGAUGGAACAGCAAGUUGGUGGUCCAGCAGGCACACAGUCAUGUUAGCAGGCACACAGUCAUGUUAGCAGGCACACAGUCAUGUUAGCAGGCACACAGUCAUGUUAGCAGGCACACAGUCAUGUUAGCAGGCACACAGUCAUGUUAGCAGGCAGACAGUCAUGUUAGCAGGCACACAGUCAUGUUAUCAGGCACACUGUCAUGUCUCUAGGCACACAGUCAUGUUAGCAGGCACACAGUCAUGUUAGCAGGCACACAGUCAUGUUAGCAGGCAGACAGUCAUGUUAGCAGGCACACUGUCAUGUCUCUAGGUGCACAGUCAUGUUAGCAGGCACACAGUCAUGUUAGCAGGCACACAGUCAUGUUAGCAGGCAGACAGUCAUGUUAGCAGGCACACAGUCAUGCUAGCAGGCACACUGUCAUGUUAGCAGGCACACAGUCAUGUUAGCAGGCACACAGUCAUGCUAGCAGGUACACUGUCAUGUUAGCAGGCACACAGUCAUGUUAGCAGGCACACAGUCAUGUUAGCAGGCACACAGUCAUGUUAGCAGGCACACAGUCAUGUUAGCAGGCACACGGACAUGUUAGCAGGCACACAGUCAUGUUAGCAGGCACACAGUCAUGUUAGCAGGCACACAGUCAUGUUAGCAGGCACACAGUCAUGUCUCUAGGCACACAGUCAUGUUAGCAGGCACACAGUCAUGUUAGCAGGCACACAGUCAUGUUAGCAGGCACACAGUCAUGUUAGCAGGUACACUGCCAUGUUAUCAGGUACACAGUCAUGUUAGCAGGUACACAGUCAUGUUAUCAGGUACACAGUCAUGUCUCUAGGCACACAGUCAUGUUAGCAGGUACACAGUCAUGUUAGCAGGCAGACUGUCAUGUUAGCAGGCACACAGUCAUGUCUCUAGGCACACCGUCAUGUUAGCAGGCACACAGUCAUGUUAGCAGGCACACAGUCAUGUCUCUAGGCACACAGUCAUGUUAGCAGGCACACAGUCAUGUUAGCAGGUACACUGCCAUGUUAUCAGGUACACAGUCAUGUUAUCAGGUACACAGUCAUGUUAUCAGGUACACAGUCAUGUCUCUAGGCACACAGUCAUGUUAGCAGGUACACAGUCAUGUUAGCAGGCAGACUGUCAUGUUAGCAGGUACACAGUCAUGUCUCUAGGCACACCAUUAGUGAAACAGUGGGCGCACCAGUCUCUGAGGAAUUUGCCAUUGUAUAGAUUUUACAUUGACGACC
This 1295-nucleotide long non-coding RNA is filed under the name Salmo salar (Atlantic salmon). Its description in RNAcentral is "lncRNA (ENSSSAG00000106204.1)". Lineage: Eukaryota; Metazoa; Chordata; Actinopteri; Salmoniformes; Salmonidae. The record is from RNAcentral.